RNAcentral lists this ribosomal RNA (561 nucleotides) under Drepanocephalus auritus. RNAcentral's name for it is "SSU rRNA". It matches the Rfam family "Eukaryotic small subunit ribosomal RNA", at positions 35 to 576 of the family's 1831-position model. Lineage: Eukaryota; Metazoa; Platyhelminthes; Trematoda; Plagiorchiida; Echinostomatidae. The record is from RNAcentral.
UCUCAGAGAUUAAGCCAUGCAUGUCUAAGUACAUACCUUCAAACGGUGAAACCGCGAAUGGCUCAUUAAAUCAGCUAUGGUUCCUUGGAUCGUACAUACUACAUGGAUAACUGUAGUAAUUCUAGAGCUAAUACAUGCCACUAUGCCCUGACCCGCAAGGGAACGGGUGGAUUUAUUAGAACAGAACCAACCGGGGGCGGCUUCGGUCGUCCCUGUUGCAUUCUGUGAUGACUCUGGAUAACUUCACUGAUCGCAGUCGGCCUUGUGUCGGCGACGGAUCUUUCAAAUGUCUGCCCUAUCAAUUAUCGAUGGUAGGUGACCUGCCUACCAUGGUGCUAACGGGUAACGGGGAAUCAGGGUUCGAUUCCGGAGAGGGAGCCUGAGAAACGGCUACCACUUCCAAGGAAGGCAGCAGGCACGCAAAUUACCCAAUCCCGGCACGGGGAGGUAGUGACGAAAAAUACGGAUACGGGACUCACUUGAGGCUCCGUAAUUCGAAUGAGUACAAUUUAAAUCCUUUAACGAGGAUCAACUGGAGGGCAAGUCUGGUGCCAGCAGCCG